RNAcentral lists this long non-coding RNA (880 nucleotides) under Olea europaea subsp. europaea. The record is from RNAcentral. Lineage: Eukaryota; Viridiplantae; Streptophyta; Magnoliopsida; Lamiales; Oleaceae.
AGUCAACUGGUAUUAUGGAAAGGGCAUGGAAGGUGAUUUUGGCCAUUGAUUCUAUCCAAAUUUGGUGGCGUGAGGGCUAGUGUUGGGUUAUGUGUAGAGGGGAGUGAGGGCUAUCCAAUGAUAUGGAAUUUCGUCGAUUUUGAUGGUGGUUGGUCAGAAUUUUUGGUGUUUUUUGUUCAUGCAAUCGAGCAUGAGAUCUUUUCAAACUGUGGUAAUGGUGCGGUGGGAGUGGUAUUGAGGCGGUGGUUUUGUUGGAUAUGAUGGCGACUGAUUUUUGUUGGUGGCAGUGGAGGGGGAUAUUGUGGUUGGGGCGAUUUUUGUUUAAUUUGGCGGUGGUGGUCUUGGUCAUGGUGCUGGCAUUGUUUGCAAUGCUAUUAGGUUGUAUUGGUAGUAGUGUGGUCCGGUGCAGUAUGCCAGUGGUGAUGGUUAGGAUUUGUUGAAAGUGAUGGUGGUGUGCAUUUGAUUGAUGUUGUUGGGAGUGAUGAUAGUGACAAGGAAAAUCGAGUAUGACCAAAGUCUAUCUUCAUUGUGACUGUCUGUGUUAGAUCUAUAAUAACUAUGACUAUAUAUGAUUUGGUUACAUAGAGUCACAAAUUAGACUGAUAUGGUCACAGAUAGUCACACUGAAGAUAAAAUUUGUCACAAUUAGUCACAGAUAACAAAUGUCAGUAAAUGUAGUAAAGUUGGAGGUGAAGGUGGUAGUGAUUGGUAGUGGAUUGUGGUACUCGGCUGUGGUGUGUGAAGAUUUAUUUAUGGUGACUCUUUGAGGUCAAUUAUGUAUUUAUUGUGGAAGUUGUGACUAAUUCUGUAUUAACUAUGAUCGAUUGUGACUUGAUCACAAAUUGUCACAGUAUAUAUUGAAUUGGUCACAGAUAGUCAC